UGACAAGCUGUAAGGCCAUGAAUAUGAUGAGAAUAUGAGAUAACAAUGUUACAUGAAGAAAAAGGAAGAAGAAGAAGAAGCAGGAGAGCGGUCAGAGGAGCAGAGGACGGCAAUGAGAGGGAACAAGGAUAGAUGUGGCUCUGUGCAUCUCGUUUAGCUGUUUGAAACCUUGGCAUGGCUCAUAAGUUGGUUAUGAGGAUAUUUUCUUAGGGUCUUUUUUCAACUUCAGCCUUGCACGACCCUUCUAGUUCUCCUCGUCAAGUGUAAAAUCCUCCGGUUGAUUGCCCUUCAGUGAUGGAUGGUAGCGUUGCUUCCUUCUUGCUAUUGCACGGAGGAUGCCAAGUAAACAAGCAGAGAGGAGAGUGGCGUCUCAGAGCUCUUCAGCAUUUCACAAAACGCUAAGAAUCAGCCACUGCUAGAGGUGGAUAGAGAUUUCAGAAAUGCCACAUGCCAAAAAAUCAAGCCCUCCAAAAGACACAACACCAAAAAACCUAGCCCAUAAACGUCACAACCUAUAUCGGCUUCAUGCGCUAACACAGAGACAUAAAGGUCUAGGAAAUGGUAAUAAGCACUCACCUACUAUAAAAACUCAAAAAUUUAUUUACAACUCUGCCCCGCACGGCAAUGAGAGAAGUCUUAUUCUUGGG
This 647-nucleotide unclassified non-coding RNA is filed under the name Hevea brasiliensis (rubber tree). The record is from RNAcentral. Lineage: Eukaryota; Viridiplantae; Streptophyta; Magnoliopsida; Malpighiales; Euphorbiaceae.